UUUGAUGUCGAAAAUGACAGGCAAAUUCAUUCUUUCCAGGGGCAUCCUGGAGUGGUGAACUACCUGUGUUGGGAUCUCAAUGGUGAGUUACUGGCAUCAGUCAGUGAGGAGUCUGUCAAAGUGUGGUCAUUGGCCACCGGUGACUGCAUUCAUGAGCUAAGUUCUACUGGGAAUCAGUUUCACUCGUGUGUUUUUCAUCCUAGUUAUCCUGCUCUAUUGGUGAUUGGAGGAAUG
This 234-nucleotide unclassified non-coding RNA is filed under the name Hevea brasiliensis (rubber tree). The record is from RNAcentral. Lineage: Eukaryota; Viridiplantae; Streptophyta; Magnoliopsida; Malpighiales; Euphorbiaceae.